UAAGCGGAGGAAAAGAAACUAACAAGGAUUCCCCUAGUAACGGCGAGUGAACCGGGAAGAGCUCAAAUUUGUAAUCUGGCUGUCUUCGAUAGUCCGAGUUGUAAUCUAUAGAAGCGUUUUCCGUGCUGAACUGUGUAUAAGUCCCUUGGAACAGGGUAUCAAAGAGGGUGACAAUCCCGUACUUUACACAAUCAUCAGUGCUCUGUGAUACGUUCUCUACGAGUCGAGUUGUUUGGGAAUGCAGCUCAAAAUGGGUGGUAAAUUCCAUCUAAAGCUAAAUAUUGGCGAGAGACCGAUAGCGAACAAGUACCGUGAGGGAAAGAUGAAAAGCACUUUGGAAAGAGAGUUAAACAGUACGUGAAAUUGUUAAAAGGGAAACGAUUGAAGUCAGUCGUGUUUAUUGGAUUCAGCCGGUCUUCGGUGUACUUCCUUUAAACGGGUCAACAUCAGUUUUGUUCGGUGGAUAAAGAUGCUAGGAAUGUAGCUUCCUCGGAAGUGUUAUAGACUAGUAUUGCAUACACUGGAGGAGACUGAGGACUGCAGCUCGCCUUUUGGCCGGGGUUCGCCCACGUUCGAGCUUAGGAUGUUGACAUAAUGGCUUUAAACGACCCGUCUUGAAACACG
This 624-nucleotide ribosomal RNA is filed under the name Apiotrichum gracile. RNAcentral describes it as "eukaryotic LSU rRNA". It matches the Rfam family "Eukaryotic large subunit ribosomal RNA", at positions 47 to 663 of the family's 3401-position model. Lineage: Eukaryota; Fungi; Basidiomycota; Tremellomycetes; Trichosporonales; Trichosporonaceae. The record is from RNAcentral.